Molecule: non-coding RNA, 967 nt
Organism: Oryctolagus cuniculus (rabbit)
Lineage: Eukaryota; Metazoa; Chordata; Mammalia; Lagomorpha; Leporidae
Source: RefSeq, a predicted model, not a curated record
AGUCCAAUACAAACAGAAACGUGACAACAGAAGAGAGUUGGGGCUAACUGCAUUCUUAUAACACUAAAGCAUGUUUUUCACUAACAAUUAGUUUGGGAGGGACACACAUGCAAAAGCAACAGAAUGGACCACAGUAUUUCUCAGAAGAGAUUCUUUGAUAAAGCUGCAUAGAAAAGAAAACCAGACAAUGUUGCCAACAUGGCACGGGCAUUAAAUAACUUGCCUGUUAUUUAUAGACCAAAGCCACUGAGCGUGAGCCUAAAAGUGAGGUUGAGUGUGAGGGUGAAUGUGAGCAUGAGUGAGCCUGAGUGUGUGAGCCUGAGCAUGAACAUACAUGUCAGCACAAGGAUGACUGAGUGUGAGCACGUGUGAGGUGAGCAUACGUGUCAGCACAAGGAUGACUGAGUGUGAGCACGAGUGUGAGGUGAGCAUACGUGUCAGCACAAGAUGACUGAGUGUGAGCACAUGUGAGGUGAGCAUACAUGUCAGCACAAGAUGACUGAGUGUGAGCACGUGUGAGGUGAGUAUACGUGUCAGCACAAGAUGACUGUGAGUGUGAGCACGAGUGUGAGGUGAGCAUACGUGUCAGCACAGGGAUGACUGAGUGUGAACACGAGUGUGAGGUGAGCAUACGUGUCAGCACAAAGAUGACUGAGUGUGAGCACGUGUGAGGUGAGCAUACAUGUCAGCACAAGGAUGAGUAUGAGUGUGAGCAUGAGUGUGAGGUGAGCAUACAUGUCAGCACAAGGAUGACUGAGUGUGAGCACGUGUGAGGUGAGCAUACGUGUCAGCACAAGAUGACUGGGUGUGAGCACGUGUGAGGUGAGCAUAUGUGUCAGCACAAGGAUGACUGAGUGUGAGCACGUGUGAGGUGAGCAUACGUGUCAGCACAAGGAUGAGUAUGAGUGUGAGCACGAGUGUGAGGUGAGCAUACAUGUCAGCACAAGGAUGACUGAGUGUGAGCGCG